GCCUCCGUAGCUCAGGGGAUAGAGCACCGCUCUCCUAAAGCGGGUGUCGCAUGUUCGAAUCAUGCCGGGGGCAC
RNAcentral lists this transfer RNA (74 nucleotides) under Streptosporangium nondiastaticum. RNAcentral describes it as "tRNA-Arg". It matches the Rfam family "tRNA". Rfam says of the family: Transfer RNA (tRNA) molecules are approximately 80 nucleotides in length. Their secondary structure includes four short double-helical elements and three loops (D, anti-codon, and T loops). Further hydrogen bonds mediate the characteristic L-shaped molecular structure. tRNAs have two regions of fundamental functional importance: the anti-codon, which is responsible for specific mRNA codon recognition, and the 3' end, to which the tRNAs corresponding amino acid is attached (by aminoacyl-tRNA synthetases). tRNAs cope with the degeneracy of the genetic code in two manners: having more than one tRNA (with a specific anti-codon) for a particular amino acid; and 'wobble' base-pairing, i.e. permitting non-standard base-pairing at the 3rd anti-codon position. The record is from RNAcentral. RNAcentral also lists the same sequence under 13 other names. Lineage: Bacteria; Bacillati; Actinomycetota; Actinomycetes; Streptosporangiales; Streptosporangiaceae.